RNAcentral lists this long non-coding RNA (443 nucleotides) under Elaeis guineensis (African oil palm). Its description in RNAcentral is "long non-coding RNA (EGUI_LNC045344)". Lineage: Eukaryota; Viridiplantae; Streptophyta; Magnoliopsida; Arecales; Arecaceae. The record is from RNAcentral.
CCAACAUGACUAUCUAUUAGUAGAGCUGAUCAAGGGCCAAGCUUUGGGCCUAAACUCUAUUCAUUUUUAAUCGAGUUUCAAGCUAGAUCUAUGUAAACUUUGAUAUAUUCUGGGCCCAAGCCUAGCCCACGAUCACGUCUAUCUAUUGGAAAUACAUGCAGGAGGUUUAGUAGCUUAUGAAAAGCACUUUGCCAAUUUCAAGGCAAUGAAGCGAAAGGUUGCCAAGAAGAAGGUGAAGGUGGACCACCAAACAACCAAGUCACCAUCACAUCAAUCUAAGGAUGUGAAGGGUAUUGAUUCUGUGCUAGAUGAUGAGGCACAAAUUCAAACUAUCAUCCAGGCAAGCUUUAAUGAUCAAUGGCAAUGGAAUGAGUUUGCCAAGCACAUGGCUCAAUUUCAAACCGGACCUUCUUAGUAUGAGGCAAGCAUUGAUUCCAAGGCUG